Molecule: transfer RNA, 70 nt
Filed under: Breviceps poweri (Power's rain frog)
Lineage: Eukaryota; Metazoa; Chordata; Amphibia; Anura; Brevicipitidae
Description: tRNA-Arg
Rfam family: tRNA
About the family: Transfer RNA (tRNA) molecules are approximately 80 nucleotides in length. Their secondary structure includes four short double-helical elements and three loops (D, anti-codon, and T loops). Further hydrogen bonds mediate the characteristic L-shaped molecular structure. tRNAs have two regions of fundamental functional importance: the anti-codon, which is responsible for specific mRNA codon recognition, and the 3' end, to which the tRNAs corresponding amino acid is attached (by aminoacyl-tRNA synthetases). tRNAs cope with the degeneracy of the genetic code in two manners: having more than one tRNA (with a specific anti-codon) for a particular amino acid; and 'wobble' base-pairing, i.e. permitting non-standard base-pairing at the 3rd anti-codon position.
Source: RNAcentral
GGUAGGCUAGUCCAAACCAAGACAAUUGAUUUCGGCUCAAUAAAUUAUGGCUCAAACCCAUAGCCUUCCU